Molecule: non-coding RNA, 146 nt
Organism: Bradyrhizobium erythrophlei
Lineage: Bacteria; Pseudomonadati; Pseudomonadota; Alphaproteobacteria; Hyphomicrobiales; Nitrobacteraceae
Source: Rfam
CGAACCCUAGGGGCUUGGGAGAGCCCUGCACGGUUUGCCAGAUCCGCCAGCAACGCUUGGGAGAGCCGCGCACGGAUCGAUUUGGAGGGGAGAACCACCGAUGGAGAAUACGCUUCUCGUCGGACUAUCGCGGCAGAUGACGCUGG